Long non-coding RNA from Hippocampus comes (tiger tail seahorse), 616 nucleotides. RefSeq lists it as uncharacterized. The transcript is spliced from 4 exons. Lineage: Eukaryota; Metazoa; Chordata; Actinopteri; Syngnathiformes; Syngnathidae. The record is from RefSeq and is a predicted model, not a curated record.
GUGGUGCUGAAGAACCAGAUACACGUUGUGAACUCGAGUCGUCCCCUUCAACGUUUGGACCUGUUGCAAAAGUUCAAAGUCCUUGAACCGUUGGUUGUAGGCGGGCCCUCAGGAAACAUGGCGUCAUGAUCCACCUGAUGUCAUACACGCUGUCAGUGCAGCUUCCAGUCAGUGCUGUCAGAGACCUCCACCUGCUGGGCAAAGAGACAAAUGCGACAAGCUUGUAGCAGGUUUGACAGCCUUGGAUUCGUCACUGGACCAGGAGCAGCUUGGCCUGUUGGUGCUGAUGAUGCUCAGUGUUGCAGCCAAAGAUUCCAGUCUCCAGUGAAUCAACACUUGAAAGCAAGUUGAAAAAUGAAGAGCUCGUGCGGGAGCAGCGGAGAGUAAAAUGGAAUGACAUUUUUGAGUUGAACAGUCCUUGGGUCCACAACGCCGCAUGAGGAAGUAACUUGCUCCCCGCCAGAGUGCACAGAUCUGCAGGCCACACUUUAGCUUUUCAUCUUACUCUUAUUUGCAAGGCGCUGGAGCCUGAAAAGUAGAUGUGUACACUUUCAAUGCACCAGCAUGGCUACUUUUGACUUUUUUUUUUUUUUUUUUUUUUUUUUCCCCCCCCCUU